Molecule: long non-coding RNA, 245 nt
Organism: Anolis sagrei ordinatus
Lineage: Eukaryota; Metazoa; Chordata; Lepidosauria; Squamata; Anolidae
Source: RefSeq, a predicted model, not a curated record
GUAGAAGCCGCCUCGCUCGGACAUUUUCCGGGCCCGGAGCCCGAGGGGAAGGGAAGCCGCUCCGAGAGGGGAACCCGCACAGCUGGAAAUAGAUGCAUUCUUGGUGACGUCAGUUUCUCAGAUGACUCAUCUAUGCCCUGAAUAACCUCAAUUACGUGAUUGUAAUUUUGGUACAGUCAGAAGAAGAGCCCAUAAACACACAACUGUAUUGAUGUUAUGGCAUGUAAAAACAAAGAUGGAAAUGA